UCAGGCGUCGGCUAACUGGUAGGCCAGCAGACUUUGACUCUGCCCGUCUAGGUUCGAACCCUAGCGCCUGAACCA
Molecule: transfer RNA, 75 nt
Filed under: Phenylobacterium soli
Lineage: Bacteria; Pseudomonadati; Pseudomonadota; Alphaproteobacteria; Caulobacterales; Caulobacteraceae
Description: Phenylobacterium sp. LX32 tRNA-Gln
Rfam family: tRNA
About the family: Transfer RNA (tRNA) molecules are approximately 80 nucleotides in length. Their secondary structure includes four short double-helical elements and three loops (D, anti-codon, and T loops).
Source: RNAcentral